This 467-nucleotide ribosomal RNA is filed under the name uncultured bacterium. RNAcentral's name for it is "partial 16S ribosomal RNA". It matches the Rfam family "Bacterial small subunit ribosomal RNA", at positions 29 to 507 of the family's 1533-position model. The record is from RNAcentral.
ACGCACGCUGGCGGCGUGCUUCACACCUGCAAGUCGAACGGAAAGGCCCUGCUUUUGUGGGGUGCUCGAGUGGCGAAUGGGUGAGUAACACGUGAGUAACCUGCCCUUGACUUUGGGAUAACUUCAGGAAACUGGGGCUAAUACCGGAUAGGAGCUCCUGCUGCAUGGUGGGGGUUGGAAAGUUUCGGCGGUUGGGGAUGGACUCGCGGCUUAUCAGCUUGUUGGUGGGGUAGUGGCUUACCAAGGCUUUGACGGGUAGCCGGCCUGAGAGGGUGACCGGCCACAUUGGGACUGAGAUACGGCCCAGACUCCUACGGGGGGCAGCAGUGGGGAAUAUUGCACAAUGGGCGGAAGCCUGAUGCAGCAACGCCGCGUGCGGGAUGACGGCCUUCGGGUUGUAAACCGCUUUCGCCUGUGACGAAGCGUGAGUGACGGUAAUGGGUAAAGAAGCACCGGCUAACUACGUG